UUCGGUAACUCACAGAUACGGAUGUGUGUCAUUUUAAGGAGAUAAUCUCGUAAUUCUGGUAAGAGACUGUUGAUGAACUCGCGAACUCGUUGACGUUUUCUUCUGUCGCGGUGGUUACAGGUGUUAUUCACAGUUAUCGCGGGAAUUAAUACAGAGACUUGACUUCGAUACUGUCCGUUAAUCGGAAGACUGCAGGCUGCAUACGUCAUACGUGUGGACAAAUAGCUGUCUGCGUUUUACCGUAUUUCUCGAGAUAAACUGCAUUACUCAUGUGUUAAGCUCAUUUGGUAGAGCAUUGUGUCAGCAGCACAGAAGAUAUGGGUUCAUUUUCUUGGUGUGGAUUGGAAGGGAGUUCUAGGCGAUUCUGUUUCAAACCAUGCAAAGGUGCUGGAUAUAGAGAUUGCGCUAUGUGCUUGUGUGUUGUGCGGGCAGGCAGCCAGCAUCGUCUGUGUGGGUGAGAGCGUUCGCGAAUGACUCGGAAUGACCUUGGACACCUUCGCGUUUCCCACUGGCAGGCCACGCCAAUUAAAAUUCCACAGGUAAAUCUACCACUGUAAACCUCAGCCGCAACUUUCAAAUUGCUCAACUUUCAAAGUCACGCUGCCAAAUUCCCGAGGAGCAAAACCAGCUGUGUAAAUUUGACCCAAAAUGCACAAGAAACCACAAAAUGGUGAUUGAAAGUCCUGCAUGAGAAUCUG
Long non-coding RNA from Paramisgurnus dabryanus, 698 nucleotides. RefSeq lists it as uncharacterized. The record is from RefSeq and is a predicted model, not a curated record. NCBI's taxonomy places the organism in Eukaryota, Metazoa, Chordata, Actinopteri, Cypriniformes, Cobitidae.